Molecule: ribosomal RNA, 459 nt
Filed under: uncultured bacterium
Lineage: Bacteria
Description: partial 16S ribosomal RNA
Rfam family: Bacterial small subunit ribosomal RNA
Source: RNAcentral
CCUACGGGAGGCAACAGUGAGGAAUAUUGGUCAAUGGUCGGGAGACUGAACCAGCCAAGCCGCGUGAGGGAUGAAGGUACAGAGUAUCGUAAACCUCUUUUGUCAGGGAACAAAGGCGGGGACGUGUCCCCGGAUGAGUGUACCUGAAGAAAAAGCAUCGGCUAACUCCGUGCCAGCAGCCGCGGUAAUACGGAGGAUGCGAGCGUUAUCCGGCUUUAUGGGGUGUAAAGGGUGCGCAGGCGGUCUGUUAAGUCAGCGGUCAAAGCCCGGGGCUCAACCCCGGCCCGCCGUUGAAACUGGCAGUCUCGAGUUGGAGAGAAGUAUGCGGAAUGCGCGGUGUAGCGGUGAAAUGCAUAGAUAUCGCGCAGAACUCCGAUUGCGAAGGCAGCAUGCCGGCUCCACACUGACGCUGAGGCACGAAAGCGUGGGUAUCGAACAGGAUUAGAUACCCUUGUAGUC